UACGAAGGGGGCUAGCGUUGUUCGGAAUCACUGGGCGUAAAGCGCGUGUAGGUGGGUAUGCAAGCCAGGGGUGAAAGCCCAGAGCUCAACUCUGGAAUUGCCUUUGGAACUGCAUAUCUAGAGUCUUGUAGGGGGUAGUGGAAUUCCUAGUGUAGAGGUGAAAUUCGUAGAUACUAGGAGGAACACCGGUGGCGAAGGCGGCUACCUGGACGAGAACUGACACUGAGACGCGAAAGCGUGGGGACCAAACAGG
Molecule: ribosomal RNA, 253 nt
Filed under: uncultured bacterium
Lineage: Bacteria
Description: partial 16S ribosomal RNA
Rfam family: Bacterial small subunit ribosomal RNA
Source: RNAcentral